GUCGGAGGCCGAUCACACUAUCAAAGAAAUAACUCGGUAUAACUAGACGUUUUGUUUUGGGUAUGGCAUGUAUAGAAACUUAGCUACUUUUGGUAUAAUAUGAACAAUGAAUGAUGUGUAAAUACUUGCUAGUGAUUAGCUAAUAAAAUAGCCGAUGAUAUACAUAUUUAUUAAUAUGUAUGAUUGAUUGAUGAUUAUCACAUGAAAAUUAUGAAAAAUGUGAAAGUAACCUAAAAACAGAUUCAAGUAACAGAAAUGACGUAACUUUCAAAAAUCACUAAAAAUUGCAGAAACAUAGUUUGAAGAUG
Molecule: long non-coding RNA, 308 nt
Filed under: Gossypium barbadense (sea-island cotton)
Lineage: Eukaryota; Viridiplantae; Streptophyta; Magnoliopsida; Malvales; Malvaceae
Description: long non-coding RNA (GBAR_LNC008185)
Source: RNAcentral